This 188-nucleotide ribosomal RNA is filed under the name uncultured prokaryote. Its description in RNAcentral is "partial 16S ribosomal RNA". It matches the Rfam family "Bacterial small subunit ribosomal RNA", at positions 355 to 558 of the family's 1533-position model. The record is from RNAcentral.
UGGGGAAUUUUCCGCAAUGGGGGGAACCCUGACGGAGCAACGCCGCGUGGGGGAGGAAGGUCUGUGGAUUGUAAACCCCUUUUCUCUGGGAAGAAGGUCUGACGGUACCAGAGGAAUCAGCAUCGGCUAACUCCGUGCCAGCAGCCGCGGUAAGACGGAGGAUGCAAGCGUUAUCCGGAAUUAUUGGG